RNAcentral lists this transfer RNA (84 nucleotides) under Candidatus Omnitrophota bacterium. RNAcentral's name for it is "Candidatus Omnitrophica bacterium tRNA-Leu". It matches the Rfam family "tRNA". From Rfam's summary of the family: Transfer RNA (tRNA) molecules are approximately 80 nucleotides in length. Their secondary structure includes four short double-helical elements and three loops (D, anti-codon, and T loops). Further hydrogen bonds mediate the characteristic L-shaped molecular structure. tRNAs have two regions of fundamental functional importance: the anti-codon, which is responsible for specific mRNA codon recognition, and the 3' end, to which the tRNAs corresponding amino acid is attached (by aminoacyl-tRNA synthetases). tRNAs cope with the degeneracy of the genetic code in two manners: having more than one tRNA (with a specific anti-codon) for a particular amino acid; and 'wobble' base-pairing, i.e. permitting non-standard base-pairing at the 3rd anti-codon position. Lineage: Bacteria; Pseudomonadati; Candidatus Omnitrophota. The record is from RNAcentral.
GCCGAGGUGGUGGAAUUGGCAUACACGUCGGUCUCAAAAACCGAUGGAGCUUGCUCCGUGCGGGUUCGACUCCCGCCCUCGGCA